AUUGUUAAUAUUGUAAGCUUGUAAGCUACGAAAUGCUGUCAGCUUCUAGGUUUGUUAUGUCCGUUUGCAUUAAGUGCAAUGUAUACAGAUUCAGCCAACCUAGCGGCUGACAGCAAUUAGUGGCUUCCAAUAGUAACAAUAGGAUGGCAUAUAUUGUACGUCGUUAUAAAUUUAAAAUAACUGCAUACCUAAUGUAUUGUUAGACUACAAAAAUACAAAAUAAAGUCCAAAUUCAGGUUAAUGUGUUAAGACAGAUACUAAAUAAUUGCAUGAUGGUCAGUCUCUAAAGAGUCCAAACAUUGGUACUAAAAUUUUCUUUAUGAAUCUACAUUUAGUUUAAGUAUAUUAUUUAAUUUAAUAGCUAUGUAUAUUUAUCAAUUUUUGUUUAUUUCAGGAAGUACAGUUCUUAGCCCUAGUACGAAACUCAAUAAAUGUAUUGCAAAGGACAUUAAUGCCAUGGAAUACCUAUAAAUGUCAACAUGUUCACACACAUCUCAAAUAAGGAGAAUUACACUUCUUAGCCCUAAUACUAAACUCAAUAAAUGUAUUGCAACGGACAUUAAUUCCAUGGAAUACCUAUAAAUGCCAACAUGUUCCCACACAUCUCAUAUAAGAAGGAAGCAGUUAAUAUAUUUUGUUAAGAUUAUUUAUUGAUAUAAAGAUGAUCAUGAUAAAUUAUAUAUUUUUACAUAUUAUAAAUUAGUUAAAAUAUUUGUUUAAAUAUGGAUGUAUUAUAAAAUCCGCACUGUCAUUCUGUUAAUACUGUAAUUUAAUUUUUAUC
Long non-coding RNA from Acyrthosiphon pisum (pea aphid), 781 nucleotides. RefSeq lists it as uncharacterized. The transcript has 2 exons. The record is from RefSeq and is a predicted model, not a curated record. NCBI's taxonomy places the organism in Eukaryota, Metazoa, Arthropoda, Insecta, Hemiptera, Aphididae.